This 455-nucleotide ribosomal RNA is filed under the name uncultured bacterium. RNAcentral's name for it is "bacterial SSU rRNA". It matches the Rfam family "Bacterial small subunit ribosomal RNA", at positions 1077 to 1533 of the family's 1533-position model. The record is from RNAcentral.
GGGUUAAGUCCCGCAACGAGCGCAACCCUUGUCACUAGUUGCCAUCAUUUGGUUGGGCACUCUAGUGAGACUGCCGGUGACAAACCGGAGGAAGGUGGGGAUGACGUCAAGUCCUCAUGGCCCUUAUGGGUAGGGCUUCACACGUCACACAAUGGUCGGUACAGAGGGUUGCCAAGCCGCGAGGUGGAGCCAAUCCCUUAAAGCCGAUCGUAGUCCGGAUCGUAGUCUGCAACUCGACUACGUGAAGUCGGAAUCGCUAGUUAUCGCAGAUCAGCAUGCUGCGGUGAAUACGUUCCCGGGUCUUGUACACACCGCCCGUCACACCAUGGGAGUGGGUUUCACCAGAAGUAGGUAGCUUAACCUUCGGGAGGGCGCUUACCACGGUGAGAUUCAUGACUGGGGUGAAGUCGUAACAAGGUAGCCGUAUCGGAAGGUGCGGCUGGAUCACCUCCUUU